AAGUCGUAACAAGGUUUCCGUAGGUGAACCUGCGGAAGGAUCAUUACCGAGUUAGGGUCCUCUGGGCCCGAUCUCCCAACCCUUUGUUUAUUAUACCUUUUGUUGCUUCGGCGGGCCCGUUGUCUCACGACGACCGCCGGAGGACCGCUUAACGGCGUCCUCUGGUCCGCGCCCGCCGAUGGCCCCAAAAUCUCAAAAUUCUUGUAUGAAUCGUGUCUUUACCUAAGUCUUGAUUUAAUCAAAAACAAAACUUUCAACAACGGAUCUCUUGGCUCUC
Molecule: unclassified non-coding RNA, 277 nt
Filed under: Exophiala alcalophila
Lineage: Eukaryota; Fungi; Ascomycota; Eurotiomycetes; Chaetothyriales; Herpotrichiellaceae
Description: partial internal transcribed spacer region
Rfam family: Eukaryotic small subunit ribosomal RNA (bases 1-46)
Source: RNAcentral